Molecule: microRNA precursor, 92 nt
Organism: Chrysemys picta bellii (western painted turtle)
Lineage: Eukaryota; Metazoa; Chordata; Testudines; Emydidae
Source: Ensembl
AGCUUAAAGGACCCCCACUACUUUAAUGUGGAAGUACUUGCUUUGCUCCUGAUAAAGUAAGUGCUUCCAUGUUUUAGUGAUGGUGAAACCUG